GUCCCUUCGGGGACAUCCGACAAAAUUGGAACGAUACAAAGAAGAUUAGCAUGACCCAUGUGCAAGGAUGACACACACGAAUCUUUUAUACAAAGCAGUAGUAU
This is a small nuclear RNA of Trifolium pratense (red clover), 104 nucleotides long. Lineage: Eukaryota; Viridiplantae; Streptophyta; Magnoliopsida; Fabales; Fabaceae. The record is from RefSeq and is a predicted model, not a curated record.